CUUUCUCUAUUUUCCACACUUUUUUACAAUAAACAGGUAUUAUGUUUAUCAUCAUAAAAAAGUCAAUUAAAACAAAAAAGUUUAACCAAAAUGUUCAUUUCCCUCGCAUGUAUCAGGCUGCAGGGCCCAAAAGGAGGAGGGUUGGGCAGGGAGUGGAGGCCAUCCUAGUGACUAGGGACGAUUCUGGAGCCAGGGGAGGCCAAAGGGUGGGGUGGGCCGGAGGAUGGGCUGCCAGGCUUGUGCUGCACCGAGGGUCUCUGCUGGGGCAGGCAGAUGGGCUAGGAUGGGCUCUGAGUGUGCACGAAGAUGGUUCCGGAAGCAUAGAACCUCAGUGCAUUCUACUUUAUGAGCUGCACUAAACUGACUGAAAAUGUGGAGGCAAUGCUGAGGCCACAGCACCCAGGUGCCCUGCGACAAGCCUGUCCAUGUUGCAGGAAUUCAUGAUAAACUGCUGGUUCCCCAAAUUCUGGCUGACUUCACUUCUCCUUCUGUCAUUUUCACAGUUGUAAACUUUUGUGUCCUUUUGCUUUUCCAGAAAAGAAUGCCUGCUUUGGUUUUUGAGGGGCUGUGCGAUGAGGGCAAGGGAGGGCACACUGUGUAGUCACCAAGCCCUUUGUGUCUGCUCCUGUGUUUCAUGCCAACAAUAAGCCCCGUGGUCAUCACCCCAUCUCACAGAUGGGGAGAGUGAGGCUCACAGACACUAAGGACUGGUCAAGGUCGCACGGCUAGACACUGUGGGGGAGAUGGGAGCUGAACCCAAGUCUGUCCGACUCUAAGGCAGGGGUGUUUCCCAGCAGGCAGGAUGCCUAGUGCAUAUUCUCUAAAAAACCGCUUUCGACUCGUAAAUAGCUACAGCGAUUUGCAUGCUGCUUCAAUUACCAAAUACCUAGCUGCAAACGUGUGGACAUCUCCUCUCCCCAUGAAUCUGGGGGAGAAGGAAGAGCCGACACACAAAAAGAAAAUGUUGUCAAUCUAAGAAUUUUCAUUUUUUCCAUAAAACUUAAGACGUCCAUCUCAUUUUGAAAAGAGAGGAGUAAACUAAAGCUCUUUAAAAGCAUACAUUUUAAGGCCACAAAUCUCAAUCGCUUCUCUCCCUCUGUCAGCCUUGGCUGUUCCCACAGGACUGGCGUUUCCUCCUCUAGUCCCAGUUCUGUGAUCUUUCUCGGGGUUAAGUGUUUAGUGACCCCCAAAGACGCCGGGGCAGGACUCAGCUGUGUUUCCCGCAACACGGCAGCGUGUCCUGGAUUCGGGAUAACCCAGAGCACUAAGGGUACUGUACUUGUGUCCUUGCCACACCUGUGUUCUGUCCCGUCCCUCCACCUUUCCAACAUGAAAUGCCCUCCACAACCACAUACCGUGAUUGCUUAAGGCCUGGGCUCUGCAGAGUGCCAACGCUGAGGGAGAGAACAUGGCCACGUGGACGACACAGUGAACACAGAGCACAGGCCCUUCGGCCUGCCUCUGGUUUGAAGGGUAAAGAGCCUGAGAGCAACCCAGAGGCUUCACUGGGACCUUGUCUAUCCUGUGCACAGGACAUCUCAGGAAGCCUUGAGACCAAGGGAAAUGACACCAGUCGCCAGUCAGACGAGACACUGGAAACCCAAGAGAAAAUGAGAAAUCUCCAUUUUAAUAUAAAAGGGGUCCCAUGUCUGAUAACUUCAGCUGGAGAAUUACACAGAACAGAUAGGAUACCAGCAUUUAGUAAAAUUCAGUUUAAGAUUAUAAGCAUUUUAAAUAUAAAAAUAAGUCUUUUAAUUAAAGAGAGUAGAGAAGCAGCCCUGGAUGCUCCACGGAACAACUGAACAGUGUAAAAGCAGGGCUGUGUCUGGACACGGUUCCAGAGGCCACGGGGUCCUCAACCUCACAGGAAGCUCGACACUGAGUCUUUUCAACUUGUAAAUAAUGCAGCUGAUCUCCUUCUAGAGCGAGAUCCGUCUGAAGGCAGGAGCGGCGAGCACUGAGGGUGAACCUACCCCCGCGUCGGGCCGCGCCUGGUCGCUCUCUGGCCUUGCCGCAAGGGGGCAGCCUCUGUGCUUCAACUCCAGCUCCUCGACACUCCAGGAGCCCAGGGUGCUGGCCCUCACCUGGGCGCAGCCCCACUCCUGCACAGCUGCAUCUAGUCUUCUGCAUGCCCGUUUCUGCAACAAGAAAAUUUCCCUGAGAUGGCCUCAUAAAGCACACAACACUCAAAUUGAAUUGAAUUCUGAAAACUUCAGCUGCCAAUACAGACCCUGUGGAGCUGGGAAAGUUUAUAGGGUGUUUGAGG
Equus caballus (horse) is the source of this 2266-nucleotide long non-coding RNA. NCBI's taxonomy places the organism in Eukaryota, Metazoa, Chordata, Mammalia, Perissodactyla, Equidae. The record is from Ensembl.